CUACUAUACUAUCUAUAAUACCGAGCACCGGUACUAUAGUGUUGGUUUUCGAUCUUAGGGCGUUCAAAUCAACGAUCCACACCGUUAAAACUGAUCUAGGGUGAGGGUAUAUUAAAAUUUCUAAGAGAAUAAAUUUUAUAUUUUUUCGACAUAGUUUUAUUUUAUGAUCAAACUAAUUUCAAAAUUGUCAAUUUUCAAUGGCUAUUAUGACGAGUUUGGAGUUUAACGGUGUAGAAUAAUCUAAAUUUUUUCAAAUUUGAUAGAAAAUACUUUAAACUAUUAACAUUAAGUUAACAUUCUUGAUCUUGAAUUUAAAGAUCCUAUGCUCAAAUUUUAAAAGAUUAUUCAAUUUCCACCGUCCAUAUUUCGAUAUAAUUUAUUUACUAAGUAAACGAUAUCGAACAGAAACUAAAAUUUAUUCCUAAGAAUUCAUGCAUCCACCGUCGCUCACCCGUCAUCACCGAACCCACAAAGUGAUGAUGGUGACCAGCCAACAAGGCUUAGCGACCACUCACAGAGCAACCAAACGACGUCGGAAGAAAUCCGAACCGAAACCGCGUUCUUUCGGCGAAUUUCGCCGAAAAACGCAUCGAAAUCGACUCUUCGAUUUCUGCAAAAGCUAACGGAUCAUGGACAAUCAGUCCAGAGGACACCACACAUGCCUACACACUGUCCACAGUAGCCCCAAGGCUCACAAUUGCGCAAAAGCCCCUGAAUUUACAUAAAAUCCUAAUAUUUUAUGUAAAUCGGGCGAUAACAUAGCCCGUACACGCAAACCGAGGACUUCUAAGUUCUGCUGAGACACAUACUGAUAGGUCUCGACGUACCGGAGGCCGUGCUCAUGGUCUGGAGCGCAACAGGUCACUGUGGGAAGCGCGGGAGCAACCCGAAGGUUCAGCGAACAGCACGCAGUCGGGGAAGAUUGCUCCAAACAGGGCUAGCCGGACACUGUUGAUCCAAAGUGAGGUGAGCACUGUGAUCGGAACUGACCCACGAUCACCGUGCUCACCUCCGGAGGCAUCAGGACAGCCUCGGAUCGCCGGAUAAGCGUGCGCAAAACCCAAAACAGCAGCCAAACAGGCUCGACAGGGUCGACACUGCCGAAACAGCGGAACGGAGUCCCCCCGGCAGAAUCUAAGGUGAGCACGAUGAUCAGAAAUUUUCUACGAUCAUCGUGCUCCCUUUCGCAGAGAUCGGGGAGGCUCAGGAAGCUCAGAACAGUAAACCAUCCCAAACUAAGACCUAUUUCAGGCUUGGCCGGAGCAAGGUUGCUCCGGCCGGCCUCCGGCGGCACGGCGGCGCGCGUGGGGGCCAGGGAUGGGUGCGGGGGAGGUGAGGAACACGAUGCUCACCUCCGUUGGCGGCGGGGUGCGGCGGCGGCGUCGGCGGAGCAAGGCAUGCCCGCACGAGCUAGGGCACGGGUCCGGGGGGUGUUGCGGCCACGGCGACGGCCGGGGCAGGUCGGGGACGACGGCGGCAGGUCCACAGAGGCCGGAGGAGAAGGAGGAGGAAAGCGGCGGGCGACAGCGGCGGCGGCCCGCGGCUCGGGCGUUGCCGCUCGAGCUAGGCUCGGUCUGCAGGCCUAGGCGGCGGCGCCCAAGGUUCAGGGCGGCGGCGGCGACCCGAAGGGCGGCGGCGACCGGCCGGGAAAGUCGGUGGGACACAGGAGAAGGCCGUGCGUGUGGACCAAGGCGGCUGCGGCGCUGGGGUGGAGUACCAAGUCUGCUCGGUCCGAGCAGACCUGGGAUGGCUGCAGGGUGGCCGCGGCGGCGGCGGCGGCCCGCAGGAGCGCCGGCGACCCGCCGGGGUGGUCGCCGAGGGUCCGGGGAUGGCGGUCGGAACGGGUGCAGGCGGUGGUUGCGCGCGGGGGAGGCCGCGAGUCAUCCUCGACCUAAGCUCGGCCUAGGCAGCAGCCGGGUGCAGCAGCGGCCGCGGCGGCGCUUGGCGACGGCGGCGGUCGGCGGGGAUGCUCGCCGGAGCACGGGGCGACACCGGCGGAGGGUCUGGAGGUGGCGGCAGUCUCGGGCUUCCUCACAACCCGAGAUAAGAGAGAGGGAGAGAGGGAUAGAGAUGGAGAGGGAGAGAAAGUGGAGAGGGAAGCCGGGGAGGUCCCUCCGGCGACCGCAGCGGCUUGCCGGCGGCCAAGGCGCGCGCAUGGGGUGGGCAGGGAGGAGGUCAAGCGGUUAGGAGGCUAGGGUUAUCUCGGAAUGGUGUAGGGUUAGGGUUUCACAUGAAAACCCUAACUCUUUUAGCCUUAUACUAGAGACAAAUUGCAAGUAAGUCCUCCAAAGCUCAAAAUUUCAUAAUGAGUCCUCCACAGCGCGUGUAAAACGCGAGAAUACCCCUCCAUGUACGAUCCCACGCAAAACGGCACAUAAAAUAUCGUAUCUUUUGCGAAAUUACAAUUUUGCCAACACCGACCUCUCUUCGAUCAACGUGCGAUCUCCGCAGAUCCGUCCAUCGGAUUUGCGAACGGAUCACACCAGUGCGAUCAGCACCUCGGAGACAACAAAGCUACACAUUCGAUUCAUCUCGAUCGACCACGGAUUCACAACAAAAUCCAACCUUCUUCCAAUAGAAGGAAACACACACACAAAUACAUAUGAAACAUGUAUUUUUGAAUUUUCUCGAAAUCCGUGCGCCAAACUCAAAAUCCAUCAGCGCCACUAGUUCCAGAACAGCUGAACCGGUCGAAACGAGCUAUUGGACUGAUAUGAACGGAGUCCGAUACGCACCAGAAGCCAACUCUACUCCGUGGCUUCUCCGGAAAACCGGAGUUACUAUUCACUUAAGUGAAAACUAAAAAUCGCGUAUCUUCUCCAUUUUAGCUCAGUUUCUCCUGAAACUUGACGAGUGCUUAUGUAAUUAAAUUACACACAUAAACAUCGUCAACGGAGAGUUUAGUUGCACUGUCAAAAAUCUCAGUCCUUACAUAGGGUAUUUAAAAUUUCUAGAAAUAAAAUUUUAUAUUUUUUCGACAUAGUUUAUUUUAUGAUCAAACUAUUUCAAAAUUGUCAAUUUUCAAUGGCUAUUAUGACGAGUUUGGAGUUUAACGGUGUAGAAUAAUCUAAAUUUUUUCAAAUUUUGAUAGAAAAUACUUUAAACUAUAUAAAUUAAGGUUAACAUUCUUGAUCUUGAAUUUAAAAGUCCUAUGCUCAAAUUUUAAAGAUUAUUCAAUUUCCACCGUCCAUUUUGAUAUAAUUUAUUUACUAAGUAAACGAUAUCGAAACAAACUAAAAUUUUAUUCCUAAGAAAUUCAUAUACCCUAGAUCAUAUUUAACGGUGUGGAUCGUUGAUUUGAACGCCCUAAGAUCGAAAACAAACACUAUAGUACCGGAGCUCAGUACUAUAGAUAGUAUAGGAGCCUAAUUCUAUAUAUAUAUAUAUAUAUAAUACAGAUUUUUAUUAUUUGAAUUUUUGCCCAAUCGAAAUAUGAAAUCCAACUCAAUUAUAAAAAAACACAUUUAUAUGUAAAAUUUUAAUAAUUAGAUUAAAAUCUAAUAGUAAGAUCUCAUAAAUUUAUUUUUUAUAUAUAUUAUCACUAAUUUUUUUAACUUAUUGUUUCUGAGCUAGCUCGUAUUCGGCUCGUUUAUUAACUUGUUGUUCGUGAGCAAGCUCGUGUUCGGCUUGUUAAUAAACGACCCAAGCAUGAGUUGAAUUUUUCGGUUUGAUGCGUUAACAAGCAAACUCGCGUUCGAUUUGAUUAUAAAACGAGCCGGUCCCAGCUCGCUCGUAUUCAACUUGUUGACAGCCCUAGUCAGAGGUCUAGUUGAGGGGAUUCAGUAGUG
Molecule: long non-coding RNA, 3788 nt
Filed under: Ananas comosus (pineapple)
Lineage: Eukaryota; Viridiplantae; Streptophyta; Magnoliopsida; Poales; Bromeliaceae
Description: long non-coding RNA (ACOM_LNC028332)
Source: RNAcentral